GGAGAGGUGCCGGAGUACGGUCGAACGGGCCUUCCUGCUAAGAAGGUGACUGCCGCGAGGUGGUCCGUGGGUUCAAAUCCCACCCUCUCCG
RNAcentral lists this transfer RNA (91 nucleotides) under Microthrixaceae bacterium. Its description in RNAcentral is "tRNA-Ser". It matches the Rfam family "tRNA". From Rfam's summary of the family: Transfer RNA (tRNA) molecules are approximately 80 nucleotides in length. RNAcentral also lists the same sequence under 1 other name. Lineage: Bacteria; Bacillati; Actinomycetota; Acidimicrobiia; Acidimicrobiales; Microthrixaceae. The record is from RNAcentral.